Molecule: small nucleolar RNA, 107 nt
Filed under: Gossypium hirsutum (cotton)
Lineage: Eukaryota; Viridiplantae; Streptophyta; Magnoliopsida; Malvales; Malvaceae
Also listed under: 1 other name
Description: Plant small nucleolar RNA R71
Rfam family: Plant small nucleolar RNA R71
About the family: R71 is a member of the C/D box family of snoRNAs containing the C (UGAUGA) and D (CUGA) box motifs. Multiple nearly identical copies of this snoRNA have been identified in Arabidopsis, and it is thought to function as a 2'-O-ribose methylation guide for 18S ribosomal RNA.
Source: Rfam by way of RNAcentral
AAUCCGUGGUGCAGGAAUUUUAGAAUCAACAUUUUCAAGUGCUCCCAUGCGUUAAAGAAACUUUCCCCUUCUAUCUAUCUAAAGAUAGCAAUCUCUCUUCUUAGUUG